CCUACGGGAGGCAGCAGUGGGGAAUAUUGCACAAUGGGGGAAACGCUGAUGCAGCGACGCCGCGUGAGUGAAGAAGUAUCUCGGUACGUUAAGCCCUAUCAGCCGGAGAGCAAAUGACGGUACCUGACUAAGAAGCACCGGCUAACUACGUGCCAGCAGCCGCGGUAAUACGUAGGGGGCAAGCGUUAUCCGGAUUUACUGGGUGUAAAGGGAGCGUAGAGGGCGCUGCAAGUCCGGAGUGAAAGCCCAUGGCGUAACCAUGGUACUGCUCUUGAAACUGUAGAGCUUGAGUGCGGGUGGGGCAGGCGGAAUUCCUAGUGUAGCGGUGAAAUGCGUAGAUAUCACGCAGAACUCCGAUUGCGAAGGCAGCAUACCGGCGCUCAACUGACGCUCAUGCACGAAAGUGUGGGUAUCGAACAGGAUUAGAUACCCCUGUAGUC
Molecule: ribosomal RNA, 440 nt
Filed under: uncultured bacterium
Lineage: Bacteria
Description: partial 16S ribosomal RNA
Rfam family: Bacterial small subunit ribosomal RNA
Source: RNAcentral